This 492-nucleotide ribosomal RNA is filed under the name uncultured bacterium. RNAcentral's name for it is "partial 16S ribosomal RNA". It matches the Rfam family "Bacterial small subunit ribosomal RNA", at positions 29 to 507 of the family's 1533-position model. The record is from RNAcentral.
AGUGAACGCUGGCGGUAGGCCUAACACAUGCAAGUCGAACGGCAGCACAGUAAGAGCUUGCUCUUACGGGUGGCGAGUGGCGGACGGGUGAGGAAUACAUCGGAAUCUACUUUUUCGUGGGGGAUAACGUAGGGAAACUUACGCUAAUACCUCAUACGUCCUACGGGUGAAAUCAGGGGAUCUUCGGACCUUGCGCGAUUGAAUGAGCCGAUGUCGGAUUAGCUAGUUGGCGGGGUAAAGGCCCACCAAGGCGACGAUCCGUAGCUGGUCUGAGAGGAUGAUCAGCCACACUGGAACUGAGACACGGUCCAGACUCCUACGGGAGGCAGCAGUGGGGAAUAUUGGACAAAGGGCGCAAGCCUGAUCCAGCCAUACCGCGUGGGUGAAGAAGGCCUUCGGGUUGUAAAGCCCUUUUGUUGGGAAAGAAAAGCAGCAGGUUAAUACCCCGCUGUUCUGACGGUACCCAAAGAAUAAGCACCGGCUAACUUCGUG